GAGAGAGAGAGAGAGAGAGAGAGAGAGAGAGAGAGAAAUAUGUACACUAUCGGCUGCACCUGAACUUGAUGACCUGUACAUGUGUCCAUAUCCCAAUGACAAAACUGGAACAAAGACACACAGAAAAUGACCAGUCAAAAUGUGAGGCCUAUCUCAAUGGAAGUGAAUGAGAAACCAGAGAAGUGUAUUUUUAUUGACUUUGGACCUCUGCUGUGAAAUGUCAGG
Dicentrarchus labrax (European seabass) is the source of this 225-nucleotide long non-coding RNA. RefSeq lists it as uncharacterized. NCBI's taxonomy places the organism in Eukaryota, Metazoa, Chordata, Actinopteri, Moronidae. The transcript is spliced from 3 exons. The record is from RefSeq and is a predicted model, not a curated record.